RNAcentral lists this ribosomal RNA (270 nucleotides) under Aurantiochytrium limacinum. RNAcentral describes it as "partial Eukaryotic small subunit ribosomal RNA". It matches the Rfam family "Eukaryotic small subunit ribosomal RNA", at positions 595 to 884 of the family's 1831-position model. Lineage: Eukaryota; Bigyra; Thraustochytrida; Thraustochytriidae. The record is from RNAcentral.
UAGCGUAUAUUAAAGUUGUUGCAGUUUAAAAGCUCGUAGUUGAAUUUCUGGCAUGGGCGACCGGUGCUUUCCCUGAAUGGGGAUUGAUUGUCUGUGUUGCCUUGGCCAUCUUUUUCUUUUCUUUAUAGGGGAGAAAUCUUUCACUGUAAUCAAAGCAGAGUGUUCCAAGCAGGUCGUAUGACCGGUAUGUUUAUUAUGGGAUGAUAAGAUAGGACUUGGGUGCUAUUUUGUUGGUUUGCACGCCUGAGUAAUGGUUAAUAGGAACAGUCU